This 433-nucleotide ribosomal RNA is filed under the name uncultured bacterium. Its description in RNAcentral is "partial 16S ribosomal RNA". It matches the Rfam family "Bacterial small subunit ribosomal RNA", at positions 29 to 507 of the family's 1533-position model. The record is from RNAcentral.
AACGAACGCUGGCGGCAUGCCUAACACAUGCAAGUCGAACGAGACCUUCGGGUCUAGUGGCGCACGGGUGCGUAACGCGUGGGAACCUGCCUUUAGGUUCGGAAUAAUUCAGAGAAAUUUGAGCUAAUACCGGAUGAUGUCUUCGGACCAAAGAUUUAUCGCCUUUAGAUGGGCCCGCGUUGGAUUAGCUAGUUGGUGGGGUAAAGGCCUACCAAGGCGACGAUCCAUAGCUGGUCUGAGAGGAUGAUCAGCCACACUGGGACUGAGACACGGCCCAGACUCCUACGGGAGGCAGCAGUGGGGAAUAUUGGGCAAUGGGCGAAAGCCUGAUCCAGCAAUGCCGCGUGAGUGAUGAAGGCCUUAGGGUUGUAAAGCUCUUUUACCCGAGAUGAUAAUGACAGUAUCGGGAGAAUAAGCUCCGGCUAACUCCGUG